This 251-nucleotide ribosomal RNA is filed under the name uncultured prokaryote. RNAcentral describes it as "partial 16S ribosomal RNA". It matches the Rfam family "Bacterial small subunit ribosomal RNA", at positions 524 to 774 of the family's 1533-position model. The record is from RNAcentral.
UACGGAGGAUGCGAGCGUUAUCCGGAUUUAUUGGGUUUAAAGGGUGCGUAGGCGGCCGAGUAAGUCAGCGGUGAAAUUUUGCAGCUUAACUGUAACAGUGCCGUUGAUACUGUGAGGCUAGGAUUUGGUUGCUGUGGGUGGAAUGUGUGGUGUAGCGGUGAAAUGCUUAGAGAUCACACAGAAUAUCGAUUGCGAAGGCAGCUCACAAAGCCAAGAUUGACGCUGAGGCACGAAAGUGUGGGGAUCAAACA